AUGCAGCGCGAAGAACCUUACCAAGGCUUGACAUAUAGAGGAAACGUUCAGAAAUGAUCACCCCGCAAGGUCUCUAUACAGGUGGUGCAUGGUUGUCGUCAGCUCGUGUCGUGAGAUGUUGGGUUAAGUCCCGCAACGAGCGCAACCCUCGUCCUAUGUUGCCAGCACGUUAUGGUGGGAACUCAUGGGAGACUGCCGGGGUCAACUCGGAGGAAGGUGGGGAUGACGUCAAAUCAUCAUGCCCCUUAUGUCUUGGGCUUCACGCAUGCUACAAUGGCCGGUACAAAGGGCUGCGAUACCGUAAGGUGGAGCGAAUCCCAUAAAGCCGGUCUCAGUUCGGAUUGAGGUCUGCAACUCGACCUCAUGAAGUCGGAGUCGCUAGUAAUCGUAGAUCAGCAACGCUACGGUGAUACGUUCCCGGGCCUUGUACACACCGCCCGUCAAGUCACGAAAGUC
This 456-nucleotide ribosomal RNA is filed under the name uncultured Actinomycetes bacterium. Its description in RNAcentral is "bacterial SSU rRNA". It matches the Rfam family "Bacterial small subunit ribosomal RNA", at positions 954 to 1412 of the family's 1533-position model. Lineage: Bacteria; Bacillati; Actinomycetota; Actinomycetes. The record is from RNAcentral.